UAUUCAUCAUCACUUUUUGUCCUAUCGUCUCCCCUUUAGAUCACUUAUCUCUUCCCCUCCUCCCUCUCAGCACCAUCUCGGACCCCCUCCCCCCUCCCCCCCUACGCUCCCCUCCCCCUACCACCGCCUUUGCCACCACCACCUUCUUGACUACCCCUUUAAGAGCAAUAACUUAUUUUUCGCAAACCUGUGGGAUCCGGACUAGCAAUGGAUACAGCAUGGUAUGUGAUGGGGUCAAGGUCGCAUCCCUCAACUGCAAGAUAGGCCUAACUCGGAAGAUGAUUAUUUACAAUUGAUGCAAUGGAUGUCUUAUCUGGCAUUGUGCUCAUCAAAUGUCAACUUCUUCCAGGGGUUAUUAUUGACUUCACUUAUUCAGAUGCAUAAAUUGGAGUUGCACUUGCGAUAGCUCUCCGUAUGAAAACAUAACGUUGCACACACAUGCUUUGCCUGCGAGCAAGCCACACGAAAACGGCAGCUGUUGACGCAUGCAGCAGCCUACUCUCAACAGACGAGACGAAGAGUAGGUUACAGAAACGAGCUAGUUUUCAUUAAUUGUAUUUCAAUAGGAAGCAUGUAUAAGUAAGUUGAGCUUUUUCUAAUUGAAAAUAUGCCUUAUUUCUGCACCCCUAUCAUAUCUGUGAACUAUGGUGCGAUGUAAUGAAUGCAAACAUCCAUCGCCAUUGGUGCAUGUAAAACCAGCGAGGAGAACUAGAUCGUGAAUUUCUAAUGUAAGUAUGACUUUGCCUUCCACCUGUUUUACGUGCAGCAUGCAUGGCGUUCAGACGCGCAGUGUAUGAAAGCAGACGUCUGUUGAUCGUCGCAUGCAUAUAUUAACGGUCAACGUUAGGAGUGUGCCUUCGAUGUCAGUUGGAGGUUAGGCUAUAUAUUGUGUAGCUUAAUCUGCAGCUCAUAAUGCAGCUAAGCAAUUGAAAUAGGUAAGUCUGAGCGACUUUAUGUAUGAAUGAAUAAAAUAUUUACGGUGAACUAUA
This is a non-coding RNA of Salmo salar (Atlantic salmon), 989 nucleotides long. Lineage: Eukaryota; Metazoa; Chordata; Actinopteri; Salmoniformes; Salmonidae. The record is from RefSeq and is a predicted model, not a curated record.